UUAUGAUUUAAAUUUACACCUGAAUAAAAGUAGUUAUUUUCUUCAUAACUCAAAGAAUUUGGCGGUUAGUAGUAUUUCUCAGAGGAACCUGUCCUUUAAUCGAUAAACCACGUUAGUUUAAGCCUUCAUUCUAUUUGUAUACCUCUAUGGUGUAAGAGUGUUCCUCUAGGAUAUUCUCUUUUUGAUUUUUUCUUUUAUUUUAGGUCAAGGUGCAGUUUUAUGAAGGUUAGUGUGGGUUACUAAAGUUGUAAUUUUUAUUAUUUAUUUUAUUUUUAUUAGGAUUUGAAAGUAAUUAGAUUUAAUUAUUUCUUUUGAAUUUUUUACAUUAAUGC
RNAcentral lists this ribosomal RNA (332 nucleotides) under Parantonae hispida. RNAcentral describes it as "partial 12S small subunit ribosomal RNA". The record is from RNAcentral. Lineage: Eukaryota; Metazoa; Arthropoda; Insecta; Hemiptera; Membracidae.